UGGGGAAUUUUGGACAAUGGGGGCAACCCUGAUCCAGCCAUGCCGCGUGCAGGAUGAAGGCCUUCGGGUUGUAAACUGCUUUUGUACGGAACGAAAAGCCUCUUCCUAAUACGCAGGGGUGAUGACGGUACCGUAAGAAUAAGCACCGGCUAACUACGUGCCAGCAGCCGCGGUAAUACGUAGGGUGCAAGCGUUAAUCGGAAUUACUGGGCGUAAAGCGUGCGCAGGCGGUGAUGUAAGACAGAGGUGAAAUCCCCGGGCUCAACCUGGGAACUGCCUUUGUGACUGCAUCGCUGGAGUACGGCAGAGGGGGAUGGAAUUCCGCGUGUAGCAGUGAAAUGCGUAGAUAUGCGGAGGAACACCGAUGGCGAAGGCAAUCCCCUGGGCCUGUACUGACGCUCAUGCACGAAAGCGUGGGGAGCAAACA
This 427-nucleotide ribosomal RNA is filed under the name uncultured bacterium. RNAcentral describes it as "bacterial SSU rRNA". It matches the Rfam family "Bacterial small subunit ribosomal RNA", at positions 355 to 774 of the family's 1533-position model. The record is from RNAcentral.